This 540-nucleotide ribosomal RNA is filed under the name uncultured bacterium. RNAcentral's name for it is "bacterial SSU rRNA". It matches the Rfam family "Bacterial small subunit ribosomal RNA", at positions 356 to 896 of the family's 1533-position model. The record is from RNAcentral.
GAGGAAUAUUGGUCAAUGGGCGAGAGCCUGAACCAGCCAAGUAGCGUGCAGGAUGACGGCCCUAUGGGUUGUAAACUGCUUUUGUAUGGGGAUAAAGUCAAUCACGUGUGAUUGUUUGCAGGUACCAUACGAAUAAGGACCGGCUAAUUCCGUGCCAGCAGCCGCGGUAAUACGGAAGGUCCGGGCGUUAUCCGGAUUUAUUGGGUUUAAAGGGAGCGUAGGCUGGAGAUUAAGUGUGUUGUGAAAUGUAGACGCUCAACGUCUGACUUGCAGCGCAUACUGGUUUCCUUGAGUACGCACAACGUUGGCGGAAUUCGUCGUGUAGCGGUGAAAUGCUUAGAUAUGACGAAGAACUCCGAUCGCGAAGGCAGGUGUCCGGGCUGCAACUGACGCUGAGGCUCGAAAGUGUGGGUAUCAAACAGGAUUAGAUACCCUGGUAGUCCACACAGUAAACGAUGUAUACUCGCGGUUUGCGAUAGACAGUAAGCCGCCAAGCGAAAGCAUUAAGUAUACCACCUGGGGAGUACGCCGGCAACGGUG